This 81-nucleotide transfer RNA is filed under the name Paragonimus heterotremus. It matches the Rfam family "tRNA". Rfam says of the family: Transfer RNA (tRNA) molecules are approximately 80 nucleotides in length. Their secondary structure includes four short double-helical elements and three loops (D, anti-codon, and T loops). The record is from Rfam by way of RNAcentral. Lineage: Eukaryota; Metazoa; Platyhelminthes; Trematoda; Plagiorchiida; Troglotrematidae.
GGCCUCGUAGCUCAGUUGGUAGAGCGCUUACCGCGUUGAGGUAUGGUGUUUCUAUCGUUGGUUCGAAUCCAGCCGAAGCCU